This 472-nucleotide ribosomal RNA is filed under the name uncultured bacterium. Its description in RNAcentral is "partial 16S ribosomal RNA". It matches the Rfam family "Bacterial small subunit ribosomal RNA", at positions 28 to 507 of the family's 1533-position model. The record is from RNAcentral.
GACGAACGCUGGCGGCGUGCUUAACACAUGCCAGUCGAACGCUGAAGCUUGGUGCUUGCACUGGGUGGAUGAGUGGCGAACGGGUGAGUAAUACGUGAGUAACCUGCCCUUGACUCUGGGAUAAGCCUGGGAAACUGGGUCUAAUACUGGACACGACAUGUCACCGCAUGGUGGUGUGUGGAAAGGGUUUUACUGGUUUUGGAUGGGCUCACGGCCUAUCAGCUUGUUGGUGGGGUAAUGGCUCACCAAGGCGACGACGGGUAGCCGGCCUGAGAGGGUGACCGGCCACACUGGGACUGAGACACGGCCCAGACUCCUACGGGAGGCAGCAGUGGGGAAUAUUGCACAAUGGGCGGAAGCCUGAUGCAGCGACGCCGCGUGAGGGAUGACGGCCUUCGGGUUGUAAACCUCUUUCAGCACGGAAGAAGCGAAAGUGACGGUACGUGCAGAAGAAGCGCCGGCUAACUACGUG